RNAcentral lists this ribosomal RNA (643 nucleotides) under Gyrocotyle sp. genotype 2 DB-2021. RNAcentral's name for it is "partial large subunit ribosomal RNA". It matches the Rfam family "Eukaryotic large subunit ribosomal RNA", at positions 40 to 634 of the family's 3401-position model. The record is from RNAcentral. Lineage: Eukaryota; Metazoa; Platyhelminthes; Cestoda; Gyrocotylidea; Gyrocotylidae.
AUAUCACUAAGCGGAGGAAAAGAAACUAACCAGGAUUCCCCUAGUAACGGCGAGUGAAGAGGGAAUAGCCCAGCACCGAAGCCUGUGGCAGUUUUGCUGCAAGGCAAUGUGGUGUUUAGGUCGAUUUAUGGACAUGCCACUCCAUUCGAAGUCCAGCACUGAGUAUGGUUCCAAUGGACUUGGCCCAGAGAGGGUGAAAGGCCCGUGCGGAUGGAGGUAUCAGGUAUGAUGGUGUGUCCCCGAGUUGACCUUGGAGUCGGGUUGUUUGAGAUUGCAGCCCAAAGCGGGUGGUAAACUCCAUCCAAGGCUAAAUACUAGCACGAGUCCGAUAGCGAACAAGUACCGUGAGGGAAAGUUGAAAAGUACUUUGAAGAGAGAGUAAACAGUACGUGAAACCGCCUAGAGGUAAACGGGUGGCGUCAAGCUGCAAGCCCGGAGGAUUCAAUUGGUCAGUGUUUGUGCUCGUGUGCUUGGGCACGCCAGUCAACUUGGAGUCGUCACCAGUAUCGGUGAGCUGGUUGGUUUACGCCUGCCGGUGUUCUGUUGCAUGGUAUGUGGCAGAGGCUGACACCAAGUGUUGUAAUUGGACUGACUGGCCGAUGCACUUCCUCCGUGGUGGACACCACGACCGGCGGAACUGUCA